Molecule: non-coding RNA, 299 nt
Organism: Caenorhabditis elegans
Lineage: Eukaryota; Metazoa; Nematoda; Chromadorea; Rhabditida; Rhabditidae
Source: Ensembl
UUUUGGUACAAGCUUUGUCGGGCAGAGAUGAUGGAUUUGAUCUAUAUUUGAUGGGGGAAUAGGUCCAGGUAUAUAUGAAAAGGAUGACAAUAACAAUGAAUGAUGAUGUGUUCGUGUCGGAAUGAUGGGUCGGUGGAAUGAUGGGAUGGAACGAUGGGUGGAAAGGCACGGAAAAAAAAACGCACCCACCACCACGAAACCCACCAACGGAAGUAAAAAACGAAAGAAUAAGGGAAAAUGAAAAGAGAUGGGAUUAUGUGUGUAUUUUCUCUAUUUUGUAUGUAUCUCUUUUCUAUCCA